Molecule: ribosomal RNA, 459 nt
Filed under: uncultured bacterium
Lineage: Bacteria
Description: partial 16S ribosomal RNA
Rfam family: Bacterial small subunit ribosomal RNA
Source: RNAcentral
CCUACGGGAGGCAGCAGUGAGGAAUAUUGGUCAAGGGCGGGAGCCUGAACCAGCCAAGUCGCGUGAGGGAAGACGGUCCUAUGGAUUGUAAACCUCUUUAGGCGGGGAGCAAUGCCGGGCACGCGUGCCCGGAGGGAGAGUACCCGCAGAAUAAGCAUCGGCUAACUCCGUGCCAGCAGCCGAGGUAAUACGGAGGAUGCGAGCGUUAUCCGGAUUGAUUGGGUUUAAAGGGUGCGUAGGGGGGUUGUUAAGUCAGCGGUAAAAUGACCGGGCGCAACCCGGGCCGGCCGUUGAAACUGGGGAUCUUGAGUGGGCGAGAAGUAUGCGGAAUGCGUGGUGUAGCGGUGAAAUGCAUAGAUAUCACGCAGAACUCCGAUUGCGAAGGCAGCAUACCGGCGCCCGACUGACGCUGAGGCACGAAAGCGUGGGGAUCGAACAGGAUUAGAUACCCGAGUAGUC